This is a long non-coding RNA of Triticum aestivum (bread wheat), 3044 nucleotides long. RefSeq lists it as uncharacterized. The record is from RefSeq and is a predicted model, not a curated record. The transcript is spliced from 3 exons. Lineage: Eukaryota; Viridiplantae; Streptophyta; Magnoliopsida; Poales; Poaceae.
GCGCGCCGCAUCCAAUCCUGGCCCAAUCCCACGCUCAGCCCCUUUCCCUUCCAAUCUCCAAUCGCCACACCCUCUCUCCUGCCGCACGAACCCUAGCAAACGCCAGCCGCCGCCCUCACUCCUCCCAACCGCCUCCAUGCUCUCUUCCUCCUCCUCCUCCACCCUCCCGCAUCUCAUCCAUCUCGCCGGAUCCAAGGCGUGGGAGCACGGAGGCGAGCUUCUACGGCGGCGGCGGGAGACUGAAGGCAAAGGGAGACCCCAUGGAUCCGUGUCCAGCCCUCUUCAUCUCGGUUCCCAUGGAUCUGAGGCUUGCGGGCACGGAGGCGUACAGCCCCGGCGGCGGCGGCAACUGCAGGCAAGGGGCAAUGGUGGCGCCGCUCGAUCUGAUCUGCAGGAGAGGGAGAAGAUGAGAGGGAGAGAGAGAUGGAAGAAGAGGAGGAAGAAAGGCAGAGGAAGAGAAGAGGGAAGUGCGGCGUCGGCCGGGCGAGGGUCACUGGCGCGGUUUGUGGUCGCAAAAACGGCAUCGAAGUCCACCACUAUGAGCUGCUCGAACCGUAUGCACCCGAUGGCUUCCUUUCCCCUUCUGGUGGACCCUCCCUGUUUUAUGCAACUUUGAGAAUGAAGACAAUGACGGGGAGGAGGGCCUGCCUUUUCCUCGGAGAGGAGGUCAACCGUUGGAGGUUUUUUGAGGGAAUGAAGCAAAACAGCAGGAAGGAAAUAGAGUGGGUAGUGUGUCAUCAUCCACACAGUCUGCCUUCCAUUGGCAUGUGCACAACAGGGACCAUGCAUUGGAACAUCGAAUUCAACCAGCUUACAAGUUGAAGAGAAGGUUACGUAUGCUCUUUGUGAGCAGUACUGAGUAAUCUAAUGAUCUGCUCCAUGCAAUCUAAGAAAAAUAAAUGUGCAAGCCAUUUCUGAUAGAAGGUCUGGGUAUCAACUAUUUUUGUUUGUGUCUACAAGCUUUUGACUUUCUUGCCCAGUCUAUUGUUUAUUUGCAAUAUUAGAUACUCUUGCCAUUUCUUGUGAAUAUUUUUUCGUUUGACGUACUCUCAAUAUACAUCAUAUUAACUCUAUAUUGCAGAAUUUUUGAACAAUCAGUACUUCACCGCGGUAAUCUACAGGAAGGCAAGGAUAACUAUAUUAAACAUUUCACGAGAUCCUUCCAAUUAUUGGCACAAACUCCUUUUCAAGAUAUUACGAGUGUGGUUUACUACCGGAGAUUAUCAGAUGGAAAGAACGUAUAUCCUUCAUCUUUAUUUAGAUGUUUAAUUAGAUGCACAAGCGUACAUGAUUCUGUGCCAUAUCCCUUUUCUAUCCAGCUGCUGCAUUCUUUUCUUUCGUAUGUGUUGUCAUGGUCAUUAGUUUAGAUUGUGUUAAUAUUUAUGAUAUGGCCCAGAGUUGUGUUCUGUUUUUGCUCAUGCUUGCUGCUUGCAUGAUUGAACAUCUGGUGUUUUGUCUGAUCAACCAUUUGUGUGCAGUAGUAUUCAUUUUAUCCUUGAUCAUGUGCGUGUGUACAUCUAUUGAAGUAGUUUUAAUUGAUAUAAAAAGUUUUCAUUUAUUGCAGCAAUUUGACUUUAACUAGCCAUAGUCUACAAGGAACAUUAGGAGUAGACUAUAACUUUCCAUCUGGAAAGUGUUUUCUAUGCAAAAUUGGUUAGCAUUAUCUCUAGAUACAACGAUUACUAUUCAAUAGAUAAUUUACAUGUUGCCGCAAACUGAUGUUUCUUCAACUGUACAGACUGAUGGUGAUGAUAUAUACUUAUAUGCCCAUUAUCGAGUGAUAUAUAGCUAUUGUUCUCUACCAAUGGUAUGUUUGCAACUGCAACCCAUAUUCCAAUGACGGCCACAACCGAGACAACAUGCAUCUGCGGGGAGAAUCACCACGACGGACUGCAUCUGCCCAGACGAUUGUUGCAACGGCCACGACAAAGUGCAUCUCUCAAUUCCGGGAUCAGCAUGCUGGAUGAAUCCUCCUUGCCUGUUAAGUUGCAACGGUGCAACCAAACACCAUGGAGGCUUAGGGACGGUGAAUCUGCAUCGACAGUGAUGGAUGGAAAUUGCUCGCCCUCCUUCCUCCAUAAACCACGGGGACCUUGUAUAGUUGUAUUAGCCUCCCCAUCUAUCCGUCAGGAAGCCCUGACUUUCCCUGCUAUUGCUGUCGAAAAUGCUACCCUUGCAGAACAUGACCUGAACUUAAGUAUGGCACAUGGAGCUUCAGGUAACAAAUCUGAAAGAACCAGAAUUAAUGUAUGACAUGUCUUUUGUCACAACGCCUCUCUCUUAUUUUUUAUGACCUGCUACAUGUUCAAUGGAGUGUACCAACUACCAAGUGCUAGAAGCAUCAUUAUAGAUUAAUUAUGUACCAGAUCACUUUGCUUCAGCCUUUUCGGAGCAUUUUUCUAUAUUACAUACAUGUUCGUGCAACACUGCCAAAUACAUAUAGCCGGGAAAUGCAGAUGAACGGGGUUGGUUUUAAUACACUCAUAAAGAAAGCAAGUGUUCCUCUGUUUUCAAGUAAAUUAUUUUUCACUGACCAUAAUCAUAUUCAGUUCUGUUACUUGUAGAUGAAGGUGCUUACUGAUUCACUCUUUAUGCAACACUCAUCUUUUAUACCUGAAUGUGAAGAUAAUAUAUUUGAAGCCUCAAAUGGGGAUGGCAUUUGAAGGACUGAAGGCUGCAGAGUAGUUCUACAAGUCUUAUGCACACCACUCUAGUUUUAGAGUUUGUAUUGGACAACAAAAGAAGUUAGAAAAUGAGGUCAUACACAAUAAAAGUUACUGUACAUGUUUGGUAAUGAUACCUACGAGAUACUAUCAUGGGUCGAGCACCAGUCAUUGCCUUGUGUCACCAGAUAAGCUUCAUUUAAUCAAAUCAAAUUGUUGAAGUAGUGAGAGGGCAAAGAACACAUUGUACACAUGCAGCAAAGCAAGCAGAGCUCAUUAAUACAAUUUUAUUAGUUUUACGGAAUUUUGAAUUCUAUGUAAUGGAUGAGAGGUUGUGUUUAUUCUCCAACUAUUUGUCCUAUUUCUAUCACAUUUGAUGCA